AGAAGCAGAGAUAAAACAGACUAAGUACACAGAGGAGUUUAAAGUUUCGUGAAUGUAAGUGCUGAGUACAGAAUGGUGUUCAAUAAAAGCUUGUUAAUUGAUGGACCACAGGUUUGUGACAAGACUUCUCAGAGUCUGAUUCUUUCAAGGUGGGAUGUAAGAGUAAGUAAAUGGCAUGGGGAAAAUCUGAUUGCCACAGACAGAAGAAUGAAACUGGAUGCCUAUCUCUCACAAUACACAAAAGCGAUUCAAGAUUAAAGACUUAACUAUACCUUGACUAUGAAUAAUAGUUUCAAUAAGGAAGACAGAAUGAGUUCUGACACGAAGGUUGGGAGCUGUGACAGGCAGACGAAAAAUGGAGCCAAAUGGCAUGGAGGUGUGUCAUCACUGCUGGAUUUUACCUUGAUCUACAUUCAGUUAUCUACUUCUUUUCUAAAUGCUGGGCAUUCAUUCAAGAAACAGCAUAUAUGUUCUGACUUUGAAGUAAUUGAUGAACUGUCAUGUACAGUAUAUGGAAAUAAGUUUUAUUACCUUCUUCCCACAUUAACUCAUCCAUCCAUUCAAUAGCCAUUUAUUGAGAAGCUCACUCUGUGUUAGGCACAGUGGUGUCAUGAUGUUGGAACAGUAACAAUAACUCAACCAACCAGGGCUUGUCUGAAUACAAUCCUACAGCAGCAGGAGCUGUGGAGAUAUAGAAGGCAAGGAAGACCAGGUUGUGAGGGAAGACGAAUUUACUCCCAGGAAUGUUGGGAUUGAGAGUAAUAUUCUCCAAUAAUGGUGGAAGACAGAACAAUAAAAGCCCACCAGCUCCUUCUGCAUGGUGGGAUAAGAGAAAAGCCAAGGGCAGAAGUGAGACAAAUAACCAUCACCAAAUUGAAAAGAAAACCUUUAUAACAAAAACUGGAUUGAUAAAUGACCUUUAGUAGUGGAAAGAUACCAUUCCAAUGAAGCAUGAAUUGAAAGGAUUUCUUCUGAAAGCUAAUUUACAUUUUUCUUUUUUUUUUCAUUUUCAGUGUGUUUUAGCAGGUGUAUUGUUCUACAUGGUUAGUUUCUUUACCUCUUUGAAAAAAAUGGGUCAGCUUGACACAUCUGGAUGAAAGAAUCCGUCAGGUGAUUAUGAUUGAAGACAGAUUAAGCCUUGUUAUGAGGGGAAUAUUUGGGGGCUUACCCUGAGGUGAUAUUUGAUGAUUUAGCUGUGGGAGAAUUUCCCUCCCAAGAUCAGCGUGACUGACACUGAAAUUGCUACAGGGGAACUGGACCUUUCCAAGAGGUGACAAGGACAUUUACCUGGUACAACACAAUAGUUCUGGACUGGAAGUCUAGUCCCAUUGAUGAAGUUCCCAAAAGAUGUCCAGGUCCUAAUCCCUGGAAUCUGUGAAUAUGUCAUCUUACACAUCAAAAGAACUUUGAAAAUGUGAUUGAGGUUAAGGACCUUGGAAUGAGGAGAUUACCUUGGAUUAUCUGGUUGGGUCCAAGCUAAUCACAUGAGUCCUUAAAGGAGAAGAACCUUUUUUAGCUGGGUCAGAGAGAGAUGUGAUGAUGAAAACAGGCUCAGAGAGAUGCACUGUAAGAAGGGCUUGACCAGUUGUUUUUGACUUUGAAGAUGGAGGGAAGGGCCAGGAGCCAAGGAAGGUGGGUGGCUUUUGGAAGGUGGAAAAAGCAAGGGAACAUUCUCCUCCAGAGCCUCCAGAAAGGAGCUCAGCCCUGUUGACAUCUUUGUUUUUAUUUUUUAUUUUUAGUAGCAUUGAGGUCUCACUAUGUUGCACAGGCUGGUCUUGAACUCUUGAGCUCAAGCAAUCCUCCCGCCUUGGCUUCCCAAAGUGCUGGGAUUACAGGCAUGUGCCACCACAUCUGGCUUCCUACUAACAUCUUAACUUGAGUGCAGUGAGACUCAUAUUUGAAUUUCUGACCUUAUAUUAUAGAACCAUAAGACAUUAUAGAAUUAUAUAGAAUUAUAGAACCAAAAGACAAUAACUUUGUGUAGUUUUAAGAUACUAAAUUUUUGGUAAUUUGUUAUGGCAGCACAAUAAAACCAAUAUAGCAUUAUAUU
Gorilla gorilla gorilla (western lowland gorilla) is the source of this 2050-nucleotide long non-coding RNA. RefSeq lists it as uncharacterized. NCBI's taxonomy places the organism in Eukaryota, Metazoa, Chordata, Mammalia, Primates, Hominidae. The record is from RefSeq and is a predicted model, not a curated record. The transcript is spliced from 4 exons.